RNAcentral lists this ribosomal RNA (433 nucleotides) under uncultured bacterium. RNAcentral describes it as "bacterial SSU rRNA". It matches the Rfam family "Bacterial small subunit ribosomal RNA", at positions 26 to 507 of the family's 1533-position model. The record is from RNAcentral.
AGAGCGAACGCUGGCGGCAGGCUUAACACAUGCAAGUCGAGCGGGCUAGCAAUACGUCAGCGGCAGACGGGUGAGUAACGCGUGGGAACGUACCUUUGGUUCGGAACAACACAGGGAAACUUGUGCUAAUACCGGAUAAGCCCUUACGGGGAAAGAUUUAUCGCCGAAAGAUCGGCCCGCGUCUGAUUAGCUAGUUGUAGGGUAAUGGGCCUACCAAGGCGACGAUCAGUAGCUGGUCUGAGAGGAUGAUCAGCCACAUUGGGACUGAGACACGGCCCAAACUCCUACGGAGGCAGCAGUGGGGAAUAUUGGACAAUGGGGCAACCCUGAUCCAGCCAUGCCGCGAGAGUGAUGAAGGCCCUAGGGUUGUAAAGCUCUUUUGUGCGGGAAGAUAAUGACGGUACCGCAAGAAUAAGCCCCGGCUAACUUCGUG